AGAAAAUUGAAAGAAGAUCUGCAUCUCACUGCAGGAGUCAUUAAAAUAAAAGCAGAUUUGGCAAAAUGGCAAGCAGCAACAAAUACUGUGUAUACAUGGAAUGCUUACUCUGCACCAGGCACGAUGCUAAUGUGCUCUGCAUACAUUAUCUUUUUGAUUCUACAACAACCCAAUGGAGGAAGACUUCUCACAAACAGUUUAAGGAUGAGGAAAUGAAGGCACAGAGCAGUUAUUCAACUUGUCUAAGGCUACACGGCUACUAAGAAUCAAUGCCAGAAUGUACCUCCAGUUUUAUAGGUUUUGGCCACCAUGUGACGACUCCUUCCCUCUUUUGACGGAUAUCCAGAGAGCACCUUGGGCAGUCACUUGACUCGUAUGACCACCCCUCCCAGUUUUGGACCAUCAGAGCUGUUGUCAGAAUGUCUUCACAGGAGUCUCCCAACCUUCUGUUUUUCCUUUGAACUUUGAAAAUCUACCUCCAAAUAUUGCAAGCCCAUGUCUAACUGAGCUAAUGAUAUUCCUCCAUUUUCCCAAAAGCUUAAGCUGCCACUGUCUUUUAGUUGCUAUUUCCUUAACUAACUAGUUUGUUGUGAUGGAUCAAAAUUAAGGGCUUUUGAUAAGAAGGACAGUUAUAUUUUUUCAAACUUCUGGGAGAUGAAGCCACAUGAAGAAUUUAUUGCAUUUUUGUUCUUAGCUGACCUUACCCUGAUUUUACCACAUAAUAAAAUGCUUUGAGUCCUGCAUUCUGCUGGUUACUUUGGGUUUUGUUUGUUUGUUCAUUGUUAACCACAACUGAACUUUAAGUCUGGGAAUAGUUUCCAAGUUUCUGGAAAUAGUCAGUAAGUGGCUCUGCCGUCCUUCUGAUGUUGCUAUAGAUCAAUUUUAAAGAGAAACCCAACCUCAAAAUCUUCUUUGAUUCCUCUAUCUCACUUGUUUCUCCCUCCUCCAUAUUCAAUUAAUGACUCUUCUCUUUGCAAAAUAUCUCUUACUUCCCACUUUUAUAACCAUUUUUACCACAGUAAAUAAAACAAGUUCAGG
This 1038-nucleotide long non-coding RNA is filed under the name Macaca mulatta (Rhesus monkey). RNAcentral's name for it is "lncRNA (ENSMMUG00000057437.1)". The record is from RNAcentral. Lineage: Eukaryota; Metazoa; Chordata; Mammalia; Primates; Cercopithecidae.